Molecule: ribosomal RNA, 158 nt
Filed under: Neofusicoccum parvum
Lineage: Eukaryota; Fungi; Ascomycota; Dothideomycetes; Botryosphaeriales; Botryosphaeriaceae
Description: 5.8S ribosomal RNA
Rfam family: 5.8S ribosomal RNA
About the family: 5.8S ribosomal RNA (5.8S rRNA) is a component of the large subunit of the eukaryotic ribosome. It is transcribed by RNA polymerase I as part of the 45S precursor that also contains 18S and 28S rRNA. Functionally, it is thought that 5.8S rRNA may be involved in ribosome translocation.
Source: RNAcentral
AACUUUCAACAACGGAUCUCUUGGUUCUGGCAUCGAUGAAGAACGCAGCAAAAUGCGAUAAGUAAUGUGAAUUGCAGAAUUCAGUGAAUCAUCGAAUCUUUGAACGCACAUUGCGCCCCUUGGUAUUCCGAGGGGCAUGCCUGUUCGAGCGUCAUUUC